UGGUGGAGUGAUUUGUCUGGUUAAUUCCGUUAACGAACGAGACCUCAGCCUACUAACUAGAUACCGGUAUGCUCGCAUAUCGUAUAUAUCGUAUCUUCUUAGAGGGACUGUCGGUUUCUAGCCGAUGGAAGUGUGAGGCAAUAACA
RNAcentral lists this ribosomal RNA (146 nucleotides) under uncultured eukaryote. RNAcentral's name for it is "partial 18S ribosomal RNA". It matches the Rfam family "Eukaryotic small subunit ribosomal RNA", at positions 1299 to 1458 of the family's 1831-position model. The record is from RNAcentral.